Molecule: ribosomal RNA, 253 nt
Filed under: uncultured bacterium
Lineage: Bacteria
Description: partial 16S ribosomal RNA
Rfam family: Bacterial small subunit ribosomal RNA
Source: RNAcentral
UACGUAGGGGGCGAGCGUUGUCCGGAAUUAUUGGGCGUAAAGAGCGUGUAGGCGGUUCGGUAAGUCUGCCGUGAAAACCUGGGGCUCAACCCUGGGCGUGCGGUGGAUACUGCCGGGCUAGAGGGUGGUAGAGGCGAGUGGAAUUCCCGGUGUAGCGGUGAAAUGCGCAGAUAUCGGGAGGAACACCAGUAGCGAAGGCGGCUCGCUGGGCCAUUCCUGACGCUGAGACGCGAAAGCUAGGGGAGCGAACAGG